UUUAAACAUGAGAGUUUGAUCUUGGCUCAGGACGAACGCUGGCGGCAUGCCUAAUACAUGCAAGUCGAACGAUGACGUCACUGCUUGCAGUGACUGAUUAGUGGCGAACGGGUGAGUAACACGUGAGGA
This 129-nucleotide ribosomal RNA is filed under the name Dolosigranulum pigrum. Its description in RNAcentral is "partial 16S ribosomal RNA". It matches the Rfam family "Bacterial small subunit ribosomal RNA", at positions 1 to 123 of the family's 1533-position model. The record is from RNAcentral. Lineage: Bacteria; Bacillati; Bacillota; Bacilli; Lactobacillales; Carnobacteriaceae.